AACGAACGCUGGCGGCAUGCCUAACACAUGCAAGUCGAACGAGACCUUCGGGUCUAGUGGCGCACGGGUGCGUAACGCGUGGGAACCUGCCCUUAGGUUCGGAAUAACUCCCCGAAAGGGGUGCUAAUACCGGAUAAUGUCUUCGGACCAAAGAUUUAUCGCCUUUGGAUGGGCCCGCGUCGGAUUAGCUAGUUGGUAGGGUAAAAGCCUACCAAGGCGACGAUCCAUAGCUGGUCUGAGAGGAUGAUCAGCCACACUGGGACUGAGACACGGCCCAGACUCCUACGGGAGGCAGCAGUGGGGAAUAUUGGACAAUGGGCGAAAGCCUGAUGCAGCAAUGCCGCGUGAGUGAUGAAGGCCUUAGGGUUGUAAAGCUCUUUUAGCCGGGAUGAUAAUGACAGUACCGGGAGAAUAAGCUCCGGCUAACUCCGUG
This 433-nucleotide ribosomal RNA is filed under the name uncultured bacterium. RNAcentral describes it as "partial 16S ribosomal RNA". It matches the Rfam family "Bacterial small subunit ribosomal RNA", at positions 29 to 507 of the family's 1533-position model. The record is from RNAcentral.